RNAcentral lists this ribosomal RNA (610 nucleotides) under uncultured bacterium. RNAcentral's name for it is "bacterial SSU rRNA". It matches the Rfam family "Bacterial small subunit ribosomal RNA", at positions 69 to 673 of the family's 1533-position model. The record is from RNAcentral.
GGUGAUUGUUGUAGUAAUACACCGGUCACCUAGUGGCGCACGGGUGAGUAACACGUGAAUUACAUGCCCUUGAGUGGGGGAUAGCCCGCCGAAAGGUGGAUUAAUACCCCAUGGUAUCCUAGGAUUAAAGGUGGCUUCGGCUGCCGCUCAAGGAUUGGUUCGCGCCCUAUCAGCUUGUUGGUGAGGUAACGGCUCACCAAGGCUACGACGGGUACCUGGUUUGAGAGGACGAUCAGGCACACUGGAACUGAGACACGGUCCAGACACCUACGGGUGGCAGCAGUCGAGAAUAAUUCACAAUGGACGAAAGUCUGAUGGUGCAACGCCGCGUGGAGGAUGACGGUCUUCGGAUUGUAAACUCCUGUCAUCAGGGAGUAAGACCUGGGUGUUAACAGCACACAGGGUUGAUAGUACCUGAAGAGGAAGGGACGGCUAACUUCGUGCCAGCAGCCGCGGUAAUACGAAGGUCCCGAGCGUUGUUCGGAAUCACUGGGCGUAAAGGGAGCGUAGGCGGCGUGGUAAGUCAGAUGUGAAAUCCCGGGGCUCAACCCCGGAACUGCAUCCGAUACUGCCGUGCUUAGAGGAUUGGAGAGGUAGCUGGAAUUCACGG